Chiloscyllium plagiosum (whitespotted bambooshark) is the source of this 676-nucleotide non-coding RNA. Lineage: Eukaryota; Metazoa; Chordata; Chondrichthyes; Orectolobiformes; Hemiscylliidae. The record is from the annotation of a RefSeq genome assembly.
AUGAUUGUGUCGACAAUUUUUCUAAAUUUGUUACUGACUUUCUUAUCAUGUGUCCAGUCGGAUGUUGUUUUGACUCAGCCAGAGGCAGAGUCCGGCCGUCCCGCAAGCAGCCUGAAACUGACCCGUAAAACCAGCGGGUUCAAUCUUGGCAGCGACUGGAUGCACUGGGUCCGACAGGUUCCCGGGCAGGGUCUGGAGUGGCUUGUUAGCUACUAUAGCUCAUCCAACAGUUACUAUGCACCAGCGAUUAAGGAUCGAUUUACUUCAAACAACAUUUUAGCGUUGGACAUGGGGAGCCUGAAGAUCGAAGACACCGCCAUCGCUUACUGUGCAAGAAAUGAUAUAGCUCUUGAUUACUGGGGCCAAGGGACCAUGGUGACAGUGACUUCAGUUAAGAACACACCGUCACCCCCCACGCUUUAUGGCCUGGUCUCCUCCUGUCAGGACCACAAAAUCAGUUCUGUGAUCUUUGGUUGUUUCGCGAUGGACUGUUCCCCUGACGUCACCAAGGUAACCUGGAAAAAAGGUGGGGAACUAUUCACGACUGGACUGAAGACUUACCCAUCAGUGAGAAACAAGAAGGGAACCUACACCCUGAGCAGCCAGUUAACCCAGCCCGAGUCAGUGGUAGAUUGCCCCAGCAAAACCUAAUGUGAGGUUCAACACAGCGGGUCAC